CUCUGGCGCUGGACAAAGAGCUUGAUCACCAGGGCAAAGGAG
This 42-nucleotide non-coding RNA is filed under the name unclassified sequences. The record is from RNAcentral.